This 253-nucleotide ribosomal RNA is filed under the name uncultured bacterium. RNAcentral describes it as "partial 16S ribosomal RNA". It matches the Rfam family "Bacterial small subunit ribosomal RNA", at positions 524 to 776 of the family's 1533-position model. The record is from RNAcentral.
UACGGGGGGGGCAAGCGUUGUUCGGAAUUACUGGGCGUAAAGGGCUCGUAGGUGGCCAACUAAGUCAGACGUGAAAUCCCUCGGCUUAACCGGGGAACUGCGUCUGAUACUGGAUGGCUUGAGUUUGGGAGAGGGAUGCGGAAUUCCAGGUGUAGCGGUGAAAUGCGCAGAGAUCGGGAGGAACACCCGUAGCGAAGGCGGCGCUCUGGGCCGGUACUGACGCUGAGGAGCGAAAGCGUGGGGAGCAAACAGG